This 76-nucleotide transfer RNA is filed under the name Burkholderia vietnamiensis. RNAcentral's name for it is "tRNA-Gly". It matches the Rfam family "tRNA". Rfam says of the family: Transfer RNA (tRNA) molecules are approximately 80 nucleotides in length. Lineage: Bacteria; Pseudomonadati; Pseudomonadota; Betaproteobacteria; Burkholderiales; Burkholderiaceae. RNAcentral also lists the same sequence under 3 other names. The record is from RNAcentral.
GCGGAGGUAGCUCAGUUGGUAGAGCGUGACCUUGCCAAGGUCGAGGCCGCGGGUUCGAGCCCCGUCCUCCGCUCCA